RNAcentral lists this ribosomal RNA (253 nucleotides) under uncultured bacterium. Its description in RNAcentral is "partial 16S ribosomal RNA". It matches the Rfam family "Bacterial small subunit ribosomal RNA", at positions 524 to 776 of the family's 1533-position model. The record is from RNAcentral.
UACGGAGGGUGCAAGCGUUAUCCGGAUUCACUGGGUUUAAAGGGUCCGCAGGCUGUUAGAUAAGUCAGUGGUGAAAUUCUCGAGCUUAACUGGAGAACUGCCAUUGAUACUGUUUAACUAGAGUAUAGUAGAGGUUGGCGGAAUGUAACAUGUAGCGGUGAAAUGCGUAGAUAUGUUACAGAACACCGAUUGCGAAGGCAGCUGACUAGACUAUUACUGACGCUGAUGGACGAAAGCGUGGGUAGCGAACAGG